Molecule: ribosomal RNA, 253 nt
Filed under: uncultured bacterium
Lineage: Bacteria
Description: partial 16S ribosomal RNA
Rfam family: Bacterial small subunit ribosomal RNA
Source: RNAcentral
UACGGGGGGGGCAAGCGUUGUUCGGAAUUACUGGGCGUAAAGGGUCUGUAGGUGGCCAACUAAGUCAGACGUGAAAUCCCUCAGCUUAACUGGGGAACUGCGUCUGAUACUGGUUGGCUUGAGUGCAGGAGAGGAAUGCGGAAUUCCAGGUGUAGCGGUGAAAUGCGUAGAUAUCUGGAGGAACACCGGUGGCGAAGGCGGCAUUCUGGACUGCAACUGACACUGAAAGACGAAAGCCAGGGGAGCAAAUGGG